Lactuca sativa (garden lettuce) is the source of this 994-nucleotide long non-coding RNA. RefSeq lists it as uncharacterized. Lineage: Eukaryota; Viridiplantae; Streptophyta; Magnoliopsida; Asterales; Asteraceae. The record is from RefSeq and is a predicted model, not a curated record.
CAUGUGUGUAAGGUCAGUGCAAACUGCAAACUCAAAGGGGGUGACCGGUCAAAGAAAAGAGAGCAUCCUUCUUGCAGCAAAAUCAACUUUUUAGUCUUCAAUCGUAUCAGGAGUAGCCUUCAAAGUCGUCAUGGAAGACAACAGCAGUUUCUUCGCAAAUAGGACAUCUUCAACAAUGGAAACUUUGCAAGAAGAACACAACACAAAACUGGAGAGGACACGCGUGCUCAAGAAUCAAAUCAAAGACGUGAAGCGUCAACUAGAAGAAACCAAGAAUGGAAAUGUAUAUGAUAAAAUCGAAGCUACGAAGAACUUAAGUGAAAAAUAUAAGCAAUUAAGAGAAGAAUAUAAUUUGCUCCUUGGUCAGAAAUCAGGAACAAAGCAACUUAAUUAAGGAUUUGAAUUAUGGCUUUUUACUAGUGUUGUUUUGAUGUUUCGAUGUGUAGGUUAAUAUGCAAGGAUGCAAUGGUAUUUGUUAUUUUGCAUAUGAUAACAACUCACUUCUUGAAUUUGAAUCUCUACAUCGUCAGAAUAGGUUUAUAAUAAAACUUUUUUUCCUCGAAAUUCACUCUCGACAACCCUUUGCAAAUGACUUGUCGUCGGCAUUGGUGGCUCUGUACCGACGACAUUUAUCCCGACGAGGCUAUACCGACGAUUUUGUAUACAGACGCCAAGUCGUUGAUAUAGGCUUUGACGACAACAUGUCGUCGGCAUAGUGGCUGAAAGUGUCGUCGCCAUAUGCCUCAUUCCUGGUGGUGAAAUAAAAGGAUGACACUUAGGUUAGGUAAUUUCAUAGUGGAUAUGUUUAACUAAAUGAUUUGAAAACUUCAACUCAACUUAACAUGAUUUAUAAAUCGGUUGAGAAAUAUAAACUUAACCUGACAUGUUUAGUAAAUAGGUGUAAACCAGAUUGACAAGUUUAUUUUUUUUUCUCAUCCCAACAUGUUUGAUAGACGGGUUGAACACGGAUUGGAACACUUAAAUAAAAAAUAAA